ACUUCGCGGGCCGCCGACGGAGUACAGGGAGCCGCGAGGGUCAUUUCCAUCGGCGUCUGAAACUUGACCCUCGCGGCUCCCUGUACUUCGUCGGCGGCCCGCGAGACCCGU
Non-coding RNA from Podarcis lilfordi (Lilford's wall lizard), 111 nucleotides. Lineage: Eukaryota; Metazoa; Chordata; Lepidosauria; Squamata; Lacertidae. The record is from the annotation of a GenBank genome assembly.